UCCUGCUGGCUCCGUGGUAGAGAAUCUGCCUGCAAUGCAGGAGAUGCAGGUUCAAUCCCUGGAGUAGGAA
This 70-nucleotide transfer RNA is filed under the name Bos taurus (domestic cattle). It matches the Rfam family "tRNA". From Rfam's summary of the family: Transfer RNA (tRNA) molecules are approximately 80 nucleotides in length. Their secondary structure includes four short double-helical elements and three loops (D, anti-codon, and T loops). Further hydrogen bonds mediate the characteristic L-shaped molecular structure. tRNAs have two regions of fundamental functional importance: the anti-codon, which is responsible for specific mRNA codon recognition, and the 3' end, to which the tRNAs corresponding amino acid is attached (by aminoacyl-tRNA synthetases). tRNAs cope with the degeneracy of the genetic code in two manners: having more than one tRNA (with a specific anti-codon) for a particular amino acid; and 'wobble' base-pairing, i.e. permitting non-standard base-pairing at the 3rd anti-codon position. Lineage: Eukaryota; Metazoa; Chordata; Mammalia; Artiodactyla; Bovidae. The record is from Rfam by way of RNAcentral. RNAcentral also lists the same sequence under 4 other names.